AUGGAUUCACCGCUGCUGCUCGCUCUGUCGUCGCUGCUCCUGAUCCUAGCCCUUCACCCGGCGCGCCUCGCCCUGCUCGGCAAGAGACUCCCGAAAUACCCACCUGUGGCCGGCACCAUGCUCCACCAGCUGCUCAACCUGGUCCGCCUGCCGGAGUACAUGACGGAGCUCUCCCGCGGGCACCGCACCUUCCGGAUGCUCACCCCGACCUGCAACUACGUCUACACCGUCGACCCGGCCAACGUCGAGUACAUCCUCCGGACCAACUUCGCCAACUACGGCAAGGGGACCAUGACCCAUGACGCGUUGGAGGACCUCCUCGGCGACGGGAUUUUCAACGUCGACGGCGCCAAGUGGCGGCACCAGCGGAAGGAGGCCAGCUUCGAGUUCACAACCCGGGCGCUCCGGGAGUACAGCAGCGGCGUGUUCCGCGACGUGGCUGCCGAGCUCGCGGGCAUAUUGGCCGCCGCCGCCGUCGCCGGGGAGAGGGUGGACAUGGAGGGUCUGUUCAUGCGGUCGACGCUGGACUCCAUUUAUUUUCAAGAGGAUUGUAUAUUAUCACUGAAAUUUUUACCGCUGCUGCUGGCCGCGCUGUCGUCGGUGCUCCUCCUAGCCCUGUACCUAGCGCGCCUAGCCCUGCUCGGCAAGAGGCGCCGGAGCUACCAACCCGUGGCCGGCGCCAUGAUCCAGCAGCUGCUUAACUGGGGCCGCCUGCCGGACUACAUGACGGAGCUCUCCCGCAGGUAUGGCACCUUCCGCAUGCUCACCCUGAACUGCAACUGGGUCUUCACCGUCGACCCGGCCAACGUCGAGUACAUCCUCCGGACCAACUUUGCCAACUACGGCAAGGGGGCGAUGACCCAUGACGCGCUGGAGGACCUCCUCGGCGACGGGAUCUUCAACGUCGACGGGGCCAAGUGGCGCCACCAGCGGAAGGUCGCCAGCUUCGAGUUCACCACCCGGGCGCUCCGCGAAUACAGCAGCGGCGUGUUCCGCGACAUGGGUGCCGAGCUCGCUGGCAUCGUGGCCGCCGCCGCGGCUGCCGGGAAGAAGGUGGACAUGGAGAACCUGUUCAUGCGGUCGACGCUGGACUCGACUUUCACCAUUGGGUUCGGGGUCAACCUAGGCUCGCUGUCCGGGUCCAACCAGGAGGGCGCGGCGUUCGCCAGGGCGUUCGACGAAGCCAGCGAGCAGUCGCUGUACCGCUUUUUGGACCCGCUGUGGAAGGCCAAGAGGCUCCUCGGCGUCUCGUCGGAGGCGGCCAUGAAGCGGUCGGUGCGCACCAUCAAUCACUUCGUGUACACCGUCAUUGACAAGAAGAUCGAUCAGAUGGGCAGAAAUCAACAGGAAUUCGCCAAGAAAGGGGACAUACUGUCGAGGUUCCUGCUGGAGAGGGAGAAAGAUCCCGGCUGCUUCGACAACAAGUACCUGCGGGACAUCAUCCUCAACUUCGUGAUCGCCGGCCGCGACACCAUGGCGGGGACGCUGUCGUGGUUCCUCUACGUGCUCUGCAAAGACCAGCGCAUCCAGGACAAGAUCGGGCAGGAGGUGCGGGAGGCCACCACCGGCGACCACCAGGACGUGGGCGGCGUGCAAGAGUUCACGGCGUGCCUAACCGAAGACGCCAUCGGCAGCAUGCACUACCUCCACGCCGCGCUCACGGAGACCCUCCGGCUGUACCCGGCGGUGCCCACCGACGUCAAGUGCUGCUUCUCGGAUGACACGUUGCCGGACGGGCACGCCGUGAGGAGAGGGGACAUGGUGAACUACCACCCCUACGCAAUGGGCCGUAUGAAGUUCCUGUGGGGCGACGACGCCGACGAGUUCAGGCCGGAGAGGUGGCUCGAUGACGAUGGUGUGUUCGUCCCGGAGAGCCCCUACAAAUUCACGGCUUUCCAGGCGGGGCCUCGGAUCUGCUUGGGAAAGGAGUUUGCCUACAGGCAGAUGAAGAUAUUCGCGGCUAUGCUUCUCUACCUCUUCAGGUUUGAGAUGUGGGAGCGCGACUCGACGGUGGGGUACCGCCCGAUGCUCACCCUCAAAAUGGACGGCCCGCUCUAUGUCCGCGCGUCGCCCCGACGAUCAACCGGGAACUAG
This 2094-nucleotide ribosomal RNA is filed under the name Triticum aestivum (bread wheat). RNAcentral describes it as "partial small subunit ribosomal RNA". The record is from RNAcentral. Lineage: Eukaryota; Viridiplantae; Streptophyta; Magnoliopsida; Poales; Poaceae.